Molecule: ribosomal RNA, 498 nt
Filed under: uncultured bacterium
Lineage: Bacteria
Description: bacterial SSU rRNA
Rfam family: Bacterial small subunit ribosomal RNA
Source: RNAcentral
GAUCAUGGCUCAGAACGAACGCUGGCGGCGCGCCUAAUACAUGCAAGUCGAGCGAGAAGGUGUAGCAAUACACUUGUAAAGCGGCGAACGGGUGAGGAAUGCAUGGGUAACCUACCCUCGAGUGGGGAAUAACUAGCCGAAAGGUUAGCUAAUACCGCAUACGUUUCCGGAACUUCGGUUUCGGAAAGAAAGCAAUACCGUGGGUAUUGCGCUCCUGGAUGGGCUCAUGUCCUAUCAGCUUGUUGGUGAGGUAACGGCUCACCAAGGCUUCGACGGGUAGCUGGUCUGAGAGGACGAUCAGCCACACUGGCACUGCGACACGGGCCAGACUCCUACGGGAGGCAGCAGUAAGGAAUAUUGCGCAAUGGACGAAAGUCUGACGCAGCGACGCCGCGUGGGGGAUGAAGGUCUUCGGAUUGUAAACCCCUUUCGGGAGGGAAGAUGGAGUGGGUAACCACUUGGACGGUACCUCCAGAAGCAGCCACGGCUAACUUCGUG